GCCGCUGUAGUUCAAUGGAUAGAAUAGGAGUUUCCUAAACUCUAGAUCCUGGUUCGAUUCCGGGCAGCGGUA
Molecule: transfer RNA, 72 nt
Filed under: Bacteroidota bacterium
Lineage: Bacteria; Pseudomonadati; Bacteroidota
Description: Bacteroidetes bacterium (activated sludge metagenome) tRNA-Arg
Rfam family: tRNA
About the family: Transfer RNA (tRNA) molecules are approximately 80 nucleotides in length. Their secondary structure includes four short double-helical elements and three loops (D, anti-codon, and T loops).
Source: RNAcentral